CGCUUUAUCGAUGACGUCAAUCGAAGCGGGCAAGACGAAAACUGCCGAAGGGAAAUGGUAUUAAUGCCUCGGAUAUUAAGAAAUUAGAAACAGCUGGCUUUCAUACUGUAGAAGCGGUUGCAUUUGCACCAAAAAAGCAACUGAUUAGCAUAAAGGGAAUCAGCGAAGUAAAGGCAAAUAAAAUAUUGAUGGAGGCCAUGAAAAUGGUUCCGAUGGGAUUUACGACAGCCACAGAAUUUCAUCAGAAAAGAUCAGAAAUUAUUCAAAUCACUACAGGAUCUAAAGAAUUAGAUAAGUUAUUAGAAGUAUACAAUGACACUUCACACCAACAAAGUUAUUCUAUGAUUAUAACAUAUAUGAUAUAUGAUCCUGUAAUGCCACAACACUUACGUGUUGUGGCGUUACAGGAGUGGAGUCUUGGAGAAUGAACUCGUCCAACUUUAGAAAAUGAACUCGUCCACUAGCACUUUCAGUAGUAUAUAACUACCGUCUUCAGGCGGUCUAUCGGAUACAACAGCUUGUGAUUUUUGAACACUUAUCCGACGGUUUCACAAAUUUCGGAUAUUCGAAAUUUUAGAACAAUAUUUCCGUCGAAUUAACUGAUUUUUCGUUUUUGAAUGUUAUUUAAAACUCGUUUUUUGCAUCAUAGCACGUGGAACGAAAACAGUUUUUCUUAAGCAUGGUUUAGGAAGAAUAAGGCCGUAAAAGAGCCCAGAACAUGCAUUAAGUAUAAGUUAUGUCAAAAGGACAUCCAAGUAGCAAAGACUUUAACAUCGUUCUGAGCUCUUUUACAGCCUUAUUCUUCCUAAACCAUGCUUAAGAAAAACUGUUUUCAUUCCACGUGCUAUGAUGCAAAAAACGAUUUUUAAAUAACAUUCGAAAACAAAAAAUCAGUUAAUUCGACGGAAAUAUUGUUCGAAAAUUUCGAAUAUCCGAAAUUUGUGAAACCGUUGGAUAAGUGUUCGAAAAUCACAAGCUGUUGUAUCCGAUAGACCACCUGAAGACGGUAGUUAUAUACUACUGAAAGUGCUAGCGGACGAGUUCAUUUUCUAAAGUUGGACGAGAUCAUUCUCCAAGACUCCACUCCUGUAACGCCACAACACGUAAGUGUUAUAAUCAUAGAAUCUUUUUGAAUAUGUGGCAUUGAAACUGGUUCCAUAACAGAAAUAUUUGGUGAAUUUCGGACAGGAAAAACUCAAUUGUGUCACACACUUGCGGUUACUUGUCAGAUCGACCACUUCAAUUGGUUGUUUCUACUCAUAUCUGCUUUCUAAUUGGUCGUCACUCAUUUACUAAAUGUAACGAAAUUGGAACCUAGAUCUCGGGAUGAAUCAAAAUCAUCUGUCCAUUUGAUCCCAAUCAAAGAUGGUUGCUUUUAGGACUUACAUUAUUCUAUUGUUAAAAUAUGAGAAGUACUCUUUUAUUUAUUUAUGUUUUUUUGUGAUUAAACAUUUCAUUUAUCUAAACUAAAUUUAAAUAAAAAAAUAAUUUUCUUA
This is a long non-coding RNA of Centruroides sculpturatus (bark scorpion), 1496 nucleotides long. RefSeq lists it as uncharacterized. The transcript has 5 exons. Lineage: Eukaryota; Metazoa; Arthropoda; Arachnida; Scorpiones; Buthidae. The record is from RefSeq and is a predicted model, not a curated record.